ACUCCUACGGGAGGCAGCAGUAGGGAAUCUUCCACAAUGGACGAAAGUCUGAUGGAGCAACGCCGCGUGAGUGAAGAAGGGUUUCGGCUCGUAAAACUCUGUUGUUAAAGAAGAACAUAUCUGAGAGUAACUGUUCAGGUAUUGACGGUAUUUAACCAGAAAGCCACGGCUAACUACGUGCCAGCAGCCGCGGUAAUACGUAGGUGGCAAGCGUUGUCCGGAUUUAUUGGGCGUAAAGCGAGCGCAGGCGGUUUUUAAGUCUGAUGUGAAAGCCUUCGGCUCAACCGAAGAAGUGCAUCGGAAACUGGGAAACUUAGAGUGCAGAAGAGGACAGUGGAACUCCAUGUGUAGCGGUGAAAUGCGUAGAUAUAUGGAAGAACACCAGUGGCGAAGGCGGCUGUCUGGUCUGUAACUGACGCUGAGGCUCGAAAGUAUGGGUAGCAAACAGGAUUAGAUACCCUGGUAGGAUAGCG
This 473-nucleotide ribosomal RNA is filed under the name uncultured bacterium. RNAcentral's name for it is "bacterial SSU rRNA". It matches the Rfam family "Bacterial small subunit ribosomal RNA", at positions 335 to 802 of the family's 1533-position model. The record is from RNAcentral.